Molecule: long non-coding RNA, 508 nt
Filed under: Trifolium pratense (red clover)
Lineage: Eukaryota; Viridiplantae; Streptophyta; Magnoliopsida; Fabales; Fabaceae
Description: long non-coding RNA (TPRA_LNC014216)
Source: RNAcentral
UACAAUUCAUUAAACCAGGUUUGUAACAUGCAAGAUUUUGUUAUUUAUUUAAGAUAUGUUUAUAUAUUUAGACAUCAAUAAAAGAUAGACAGAAGAAGUCAUAAGUUAGUUUGGUGGAACAAAAACACGAAAGUAAUAGAUUAUAUUUUAUUCUCUUAAAUGUAAGAGAAAAAUCAUAUGAACACACAUUUUAACAACCACACCGUAUUUUUAUACGAUUGGAGGCUUCGAUUCACUUUCCCACAAUUUUUAUUCAUCUUUGGUUUCCGUGCAAUAUUUAAAUCAGUCUAUAUCGUGUUAAGUGUCGAUACAAUAUUGGCAAAAAAAUGUGUGCAAAUAGCACAACUCCAAAUGUAAAUCACAUUUGAGAAAAUCCAUUUUCCAAUAUAAGAUAGACCGAAGAAGCUAUAACAUGGUUUGGAGGGACCAAAACAUGAAAGUAAUUUUUACUAAGACUAAAAAUAAAAAUAGUUAACCUUCAUUAUUCAAAUAGGAGAUGUCUUAUAAU